GGGGUCCUGGAAGGUUUACGUGGACGGCGUACAGCGGGCGCGCGGGGCCGGGCUGGCCACGGGACACUACGUGCCGCACGGGGGAACCUACGUCCUGGGACAAGACCAGGACAGGCAGGGCGGAGGAUUCGAUGCCAGUCAGGCGUACGUGGGAGACUUAGCGGAGUUCCACCUCUGGGACAACGAGCUGGACGACUCCCGCGACAUCCAGCGCGUCCAGGACCGGACCCUUUACGGCAACGUCAUCAACUGGCGAGACGUCGACGUGCAGACCUUCGGCAGCGUCGACACAACGCCAUACCUCAUAGAAAUCUCAGAAACAAGACCUGACGGAGCGAGACCCACGACUGAAGAAGACUCAAGGCUGACACCGGGAAGGCCUAGACCAGGGGAAGAGCGACCAGGCACCGGACUUACACCUGAGAGACCAAGACCAUCCGGCGGCGAGCGACCAG
This is a long non-coding RNA of Branchiostoma belcheri (Belcher's lancelet), 455 nucleotides long. RefSeq lists it as uncharacterized. The transcript is spliced from 5 exons. Lineage: Eukaryota; Metazoa; Chordata; Leptocardii; Amphioxiformes; Branchiostomatidae. The record is from RefSeq and is a predicted model, not a curated record.